UACAGAGGUCUCAAGCGUUGUUCGGAUUCAUUGGGCGUAAAGGGUGCGUAGGCGGCGCGGUAAGUCGGGUGUGAAAACCUGCAGCUUAACUGUGGGCCUGCGGCCGAUACGGGCAGACUUGAGUUCGGUAGGGGAGACUGGAAUUCCUGGUGUAGCGGUGAAAUGCGCAGAUAUCUGGAGGAACACCGGUGGCGAAGGCGGCAUCCUGGACCAAUAUUGACGCUGAGGAGCGAAAGCCAGGGGAGCAAACGGG
This 253-nucleotide ribosomal RNA is filed under the name uncultured bacterium. RNAcentral's name for it is "partial 16S ribosomal RNA". It matches the Rfam family "Bacterial small subunit ribosomal RNA", at positions 524 to 776 of the family's 1533-position model. The record is from RNAcentral.